AGCAGUGCUGGGAAGAGAACAGGAACCCUGUGGAUAUCGGUGGGACUUGUUGAGAAAUUCAGAGUCAGCUUGUCACAGCCCGGGGCCUCUUUCCAUGCUACACACUGGCAGACGCCCUGCCACCAGAAAAGCUGGCAUCCAAUGCAUGCUACAGGCAUUUCCACCUGCUCUUUAAAUACAUUCUUUUUUGAGACAGGGUUUCAAUAUACAGCCAGGCUGGCCUAGGACUGUGUAGUCCAAGCUGACCUUGAACUGGCAAGCCUCCCUUCUCUGCCUCACAGGUGCUAGGAUUACGGGAAUGCUCUACCAAGCUUGGCCUCUAUUGACUUUCUCAAUGUUGGCCGCAGCUUCCCUAUUCCUUGAGAGUUCUGCAGGAGAAAUCCCAAAGACAACCAAUUCUGUAUUAAACAACUGUCGGUAUUUUUUAGGAACCUCCUUCUAACUUCAGGAUCUCAGCCAACUGCUUUCCGAAGUCCCUGUUCCUGGCAGAAAGACAAAUUGUGUACUGAGAUCCAUGCUGGCCUUCAGCUAUAGCGGGAAGUUCACGCCUGGAAUGGGGUCAGAGGUUUCAGAGAUGAGGUUCUUGAUUUGUUCCAUUUUGAGAGAGAAGCAUCUUCUUUUUGUAGUCCAGGCUAGCCACAAACUUGCAGUCUUCCUAAUUCACCCUUUUUCGUGCUGGUAUUAUAAGCAUAUGCUACCAUACCAGGCUCUUAGCCUGGGCCCUACAGUUUUGGUUGGUCUCAAACUCACUGUGUAGCUUAGGGUGCCUUUGAAGGUCUGACCCUUUAGUGCUGGGAUUAAAGGCAAUAUUGUUUGGAGACGGACUAUGUGGGCCCUGGCUAGAAUUUGCUAUGUAGACCAGUCUGGCCAGGAAUUCAGAGAUCCUCCUGCCUCUGCCUUGCUAGUGAUGGGAUUAAAGACGUAGGUCACCACACUUGGACAGAAUUGCUGUUCAGACUCAUCUUGCCUUUUAGAAUCAUAUGGAAAAGCAAGGAUCAAGAAAAGUCGCUUUUGCCCUGUGCCGCUGCUGCCCCCAGCGGCCGGAGGCGGGAGCGCGGGCAGGUGGCUCCCGGACUCCCGGGCCGCAGUGACUUUCCACUAAGCUGCGCCGCUGAGCCCUUUUAAAUGCCUUUCUUUGCACGUGGUUGCUGUGAGUCAUCUCCUUUCCCUAGACAAAGAAAUCUAGGCUUUGCUAAUCGGGUUUCCGGAGUCCGCUAAGGCGUGAGUCAAACUCGUGCUUCCCGAGAGCUGUAACCGUUUGCUCCUCUCCCAGGGGAAGCGCCCGUUGCACGGGUGCAAAUCUGCGUUUCUGUGGAGUCUGGGACCAAAGGACCCACGCGGCGAGAUGGCUCCUGGCUCCACGGGUAAAGGCGCAUGCGUAAAUCCUGACACCUGCGAUCAGCCCCAUGAGAAGGCGGGAACCGAUUUCAACAAGUUGUUCUCUCACCUUCACACAGGUUUAAAAUAAAUAAGUAAAUAUCUAAAUAGUGUUGUUAGCUGGGCAGGGUGGAGCAUGCUUGUAAUCCCAGCACUUGUGAGAUGAACCCAGAAGGAUCAGGAGUUCAAGGCCAGCCAUGAUUACAUAGUCUCUGCUGAGUGUUAGGCCAUUACAUGAGACUCUGUCUCAAAACAGAAAAACGUGGUUAUUUUAAAAACCUAAUAAAUAAGUAAAUAAGUAAAUGAAUAAAUAAA
Molecule: long non-coding RNA, 1692 nt
Organism: Peromyscus californicus insignis
Lineage: Eukaryota; Metazoa; Chordata; Mammalia; Rodentia; Cricetidae
Exons: 2
Source: RefSeq, a predicted model, not a curated record